GCCAAACUCGUUUAAAUUGCAAUUCCGUCUCCCGAUUACAUAUAGUACUUCUGAAAACGCAUAACAACCUGAGUAGCAGACUAACACACCGAAAUACUUAACCAAUUCACUUAUUUGCCCAAGAGGAAAAAUCAGACCUAAAGAAGGAACUGGUUCUCCAAUUUAGAAAGAGGUUGGUGCCACAUCCGGUGUCUAACCCACGCUAUGCUGUUGCACUAAAGUCGGGCAACCAUUCCAAUCUGCUCAUCAAUAACUAGUCCCAGAGCUCCACACACAUGAAACCCCACCGUCUAAGGUAACCGACUCGGCUAGGGUUCCAUGUUUUAAGUCUUCUCAAGCCGAAUCGCCGAUGGCAAGGUUACCAAGCUGGUCAGUUGGAGGAGAUGGGACAGCUUGAGCCAUACGCAAGACAUCCAUGGCUUCAGCUACCUUAGCCUUCAAGGCUUCGGGCGACUCAAUUAAAUGCAAAACUUCAGUUUGAUCCAUCUCCAGGAGCAUGCCCGUCACCUUGCCAGCAAAAUCAUGCUCCAGCUGGUCCACCAGAGGGUAAAGCUGCUCACCAAGCAUCUGAGAAAACACGAGAGCGAGUGCAUUUGCUUAAUAUUUAUAGUAAAAGUGAAAGUUCCAACAAAAGAAAAUGUGAAGAAAAAACACGAACUUCCUUGGCACACUAAGUAAAGAAACAGAAAAGUCGAGAAAAUUACAGCACGCUGUUGCUCAGGUGGGGCAGAAGCCAAAGCAGAAGCAAGCGCACUGAUUGGCAGAGGCUGCUGAGGAACGCCAGCAUCAGCAUUAGCCACUGGCACACCUCCAAUUUCAAUGGGAACAGGAAGCAUAGCACCCAUGAUACCCUGAGGAGGAACAGCGACAUCUGGAGUGUUCCUCGCAUUAGUAGUAUAUCGGAAGUUCCGGUU
RNAcentral lists this long non-coding RNA (914 nucleotides) under Physcomitrium patens. Its description in RNAcentral is "long non-coding RNA (PPAT_LNC008505)". The record is from RNAcentral. Lineage: Eukaryota; Viridiplantae; Streptophyta; Bryopsida; Funariales; Funariaceae.